RNAcentral lists this long non-coding RNA (480 nucleotides) under Lathyrus oleraceus (garden pea). RNAcentral describes it as "Pisum sativum (pea) long non-coding RNA (PSAT_LNC009406)". The record is from RNAcentral. Lineage: Eukaryota; Viridiplantae; Streptophyta; Magnoliopsida; Fabales; Fabaceae.
UUUCACCGGAGUCUUCUUCACAGGUGCAGCCUUCUUCGCCGCCGGCUUGGGUGCAGCAGCUGCAGCCGCUGGUGAAGUCCUCGUCGAGGUCCUUGCAGCCUUGGCAGGCUUAGCAGCUGGCUUGGCUUUGGCAGCUGGCUUGGCUUUGGCAGCAGGUUUCGCCUUAGCAGCAGCUUUAGGCUUCGCGGCAGGCUUGGCCUUGGCUGCUGGCUUGGCUGCGGCAGUCUUAACCGGCUUGGCAGCGGGUUUAGCUUUGGCAGCAGGCUUUGCCUUAGCAGCGGGCUUAGCCUUGGCAGCUGGCUUGGCCUUAGCAAUGCGGCAGUCUUAACCGGCUUGGCAGCGGGUUUAGCUUUGGCAGCAGGCUUUGCCUUAGCAGCGGGCUUAGCCUUGGCAGCUGGCUUGGCCUUAGCAGCGGGCUUGGCUUUGGCAGCUGGCUUAGCCUUAGCUGCGGGCUUAGCCUUUGACUUGGUAGCAGCUUUA